Long non-coding RNA from Centruroides sculpturatus (bark scorpion), 411 nucleotides. RefSeq lists it as uncharacterized. NCBI's taxonomy places the organism in Eukaryota, Metazoa, Arthropoda, Arachnida, Scorpiones, Buthidae. The transcript is spliced from 3 exons. The record is from RefSeq and is a predicted model, not a curated record.
UCUGUAAUCACUGCAUAUGUAAUUAAGUUCAUUGCACACGUUACAAAAUAUUGGAGGAUAAAAGUGGGCCCUUCGUAUGUUAAUCAAGCAAACGUUCAAUACAGUACUUAUAAACGUCCAACGAUAACUCACAGAAAAUUAAAGAUGCCAGAUCCAGCAUGCCAGUGUGGUGAUUCCGAAUGCACAUGCGAAACAUCGUGCAAAUGUUCAAGUGGCGAAUGCAAGUGUAAGAAAUGCCAUUGCCAAUGUAAAGAAGGUCAAAGUUGCUCCUGUGAUCCGUGCGAUUGCAAGUGAAUUAAAUUUGCGAGAAAUUCUGCAACGAUUUUAAGAAAAACGCUUGCAUGCCAUUGAUAAAUUGAACCACCAAAUUUAUGUAAAUAACUAUAAAUUAAUAAAAUAAUUUAAGCUGCA